This 2661-nucleotide ribosomal RNA is filed under the name Escherichia coli. RNAcentral's name for it is "23S ribosomal RNA". It matches the Rfam family "Bacterial large subunit ribosomal RNA", at positions 409 to 2925 of the family's 2925-position model. The record is from RNAcentral. Lineage: Bacteria; Pseudomonadati; Pseudomonadota; Gammaproteobacteria; Enterobacterales; Enterobacteriaceae.
UGAGUAGGGCGGGACACGUGGUAUCCUGUCUGAAUAUGGGGGGACCAUCCUCCAAGGCUAAAUACUCCUGACUGACCGAUAGUGAACCAGUACCGUGAGGGAAAGGCGAAAAGAACCCCGGCGAGGGGAGUGAAAAAGAACCUGAAACCGUGUACGUACAAGCAGUGGGAGCCUCUUAAUGGGGUGACUGCGUACCUUUUGUAUAAUGGGUCAGCGACUUAUAUUCUGUAGCAAGGUUAACCGAAUAGGGGAGCCGAAGGGAAACCGAGUCUUAACUGGGCGUUAAGUUGCAGGGUAUAAGACCCGAAACCCGGUGAUUCAGCCAUGGGCAGGUUCGAAGGUUGGGUAACACUAACUGGAGGACCGAACCGACUAAUGUUGAAAAAUUAGCGGAUGACUUGUGGCUGGGGGUGAAAGGCCAAUCAAACCGGGAGAUAGCUGGUUCUCCCCGAAAGCUAUUUAGGUAGCGCCUCGUGAAUUCAUCUCCGGGGCUCCCCUACGAAGCUUACGGCCUUUGGCUUUGCUAGAGCACUGUUUCGGCAAGGGGGUCAUCCCGACUUACCAACCCGAUGCAAACUGCGAAUACCGGAGAAUGUUAUCACGGGAGACACACGGCGGGUGCUAACGUCCGUCGUGAAGAGGGAAACAACCCAGACCGCCAGCUAAGGUCCCAAAGUCAUGGUUAAGUGGGAAACGAUGUGGGAAGGCCCAGACAGCCAGGAUGUUGGCUUAGAAGCAGCCAUCAUUUAAAGAAAGCGUAAUAGCUCACUGGUCGAGUCGGCCUGCGCGGAAGAUGUAUGACGGGGCUAAACCAUGCACCGAAGCUGCGGCAGCGACACUAUGUGUUGUUGGGUAGGGGAGCGUUCUGUAAGCCUGUGAAGGUGUACUGUGAGGUAUGCUGGAGGUAUCAGAAGUGCGAAUGCUGACAUAAGUAACGAUAAAGCGGGUGAAAAGCCCGCUCGCCGGAAGACCAAGGGUUCCUGUCCAACGUUAAUCGGGGCAGGGUGAGUCGACCCCUAAGGCGAGGCCGAAAGGCGUAGUCGAUGGGAAACAGGUUAAUAUUCCUGUACUUGGUGUUACUGCGAAGGGGGGACGGAGAAGGCUAUGUUGGCCGGGCGACGGUUGUCCCGGUUUAAGCGUGUAGGCUGGUUUUCCAGGCAAAUCCGGAAAAUCAAGGCUGAGGCGUGAUGACGAGGCACUACGGUGCUGAAGCGACAAAUGCCCUGCUUCCAGGAAAAGCCUCUAAGCAUCAGGUAACAUCAAAUCGUACCCCAAACCGACACAGGUGGUCAGGUAGAGCAAAUACCAAGGCGCUUGAGAGAACUCGGGUGAAGGAACUAGGCAAAAUGGUGCCGUAACUUCGGGAGAAGGCACGCUGAUAUGUAGGUGAAGCGACUUGCUCGUGGAGCUGAAAUCAGUCGAAGAUACCAGCUGGCUGCAACUGUUUAUUAAAAACACAGCACUGUGCAAACACGAAAGUGGACGUAUACGGUGUGACGCCUGCCCGGUGCCGGAAGGUUAAUUGAUCUGCAGAUCAAUGCAGCCGGAGUCUUGGUCUUGCCGCGGCCGGUUAGCGGUAACGCGAAGCUCUUGAUCGAAGCCCCGGUAAACGGCGGCCGUAACUAUAACGGUCCUAAGGUAGCGAAAUUCCUUGUCGGGUAAGUUCCGACCUGCACGAAUGGCGUAAUGAUGGCCAGGCUGUCUCCACCCGAGACUCAGUGAAAUUGAACUCGCUGUGAAGAUGCAGUGUACCCGCGGCAAGACGGAAAGACCCCGUGAACCUUUACUAUAGCUUGACACUGACAAUCAAGGGUACAUUGAGCCUUGAUGUGUGUGUAGGAUAGGUGGGAGGCUUUGAAGUGUGGACGCCAGUCUGCAUGGAGCCGACCUUGAAAUACCACCCUUUAAUGUUUGAUGUUCUAACGUGGGCCCCUUACCGGGGUUGCGGACAGUGUCUGGUGGGUAGUUUGACUGGGGCGGUCUCCUCCUAAAGAGUAACGGAGGAGCACGAAGGUUGGCUAAUCCGCUCGGACAUCAGGAGGUUAGUGCAAUGGCAUAAGCCAGCUUGACUGCGAGCGUGACGGGGAUGUAGCAGGUGCGAAAGCAGGUCAUAGUGAUCCGGUGGUUCUGAAUGGAAGGGCCAUCGCUCAACGGAUAAAAGGUACUCCGGGGAUAACAGGCUGAUACCGCCCAAGAGUUCAUAUCGACGGCGGUGUUUGGCACCUCGAUGUCGGCUCAUCACAUCCUGGGGCUGAAGUAGGUCCCAAGGGUAUGGCUGUUCGCCAUUUAAAGUGGUACGCGAGCUGGGUUUAGAACGUCGGACUUCACCCGAACUGUUUCGUGCGUUCGCACGUGAGACAGUUCGGUCCCUAUCUGCCGUGGGCGCUGGAGAACUGAGGGGGGCUGCUCCUAGUACGAGAGGACCGGAGUGGACGCAUCACUGGUGUUCGGGUUGUCAUGCCAAUGGCACUGCCCGGUAGCUAAAUGCGGAAGAGAUAAGUGCUGAAAGCAUCUAAGCACGAAACUUGCCCCGAGAUGAGUUCUCCCUGACUCCUUGAGAGUCCUGAAGGAACGUUGAAGACGACGACGUUGAUAGGCCGGGUGUGUAAGCGCAGCGAUGCGUUGAGCUAACCGGUACUAAUGAACCGUGAGGCUUAACCU